UGGGGAAUUUUGGACAAUGGGGGAAACCCUGAUCCAGCCAUCCCGCGUGUGCGAUGAAGGCCUUCGGGUUGUAAAGCACUUUUGGCAGGAAAGAAACGUCAUGGGUUAAUACCCCGUGAAACUGACGGUACCUGCAGAAUAAGCACCGGCUAACUACGUGCCAGCAGCCGCGGUAAUACGUAGGGUGCAAGCGUUAAUCGGAAUUACUGGGCGUAAAGCGUGCGCAGGCGGUUCGGAAAGAAAGAUGUGAAAUCCCGGAGCUCAACUUUGGAACUGCAUUUUUAACUACCGGGCUAGAGUGUGUCAGAGGGAGGUGGAAUUCCGCGUGUAGCAGUGAAAUGCGUAGAUAUGCGGAGGAACACCGAUGGCGAAGGCAGCCUCCUGGGAUAACACUGACGCUCAUGCACGAAAGCGUGGGGAGCAAACAGG
This 429-nucleotide ribosomal RNA is filed under the name Acidobacteriota bacterium. RNAcentral describes it as "Acidobacteria bacterium partial 16S ribosomal RNA". It matches the Rfam family "Bacterial small subunit ribosomal RNA", at positions 355 to 776 of the family's 1533-position model. Lineage: Bacteria; Pseudomonadati; Acidobacteriota. The record is from RNAcentral.